CGAAUGGCUCAUUAAAUCAGUUAUCGUUUAUUUGAUAGUACCUUACUACUUGGAUAACCGUGGUAAUUCUAGAGCUAAUACAUGCUAAAAACCCCGACUUCGGGAGGGGUGUAUUUAUUAGAUAAAAAACCAAUGCCCUUCGGGGCUCCUUGGUGAAUCAUAAUAACUUAACGGAUCGCAUGGCCUUGCGCCGGCGACGGUUCAUUCAAAUUUCUGCCCUAUCAACUUUCGAUUGUAGGGUAUUGGCCUACAAUGGUAUCAACGGGUAACGGGGAAUUAGGGUUCGAUUCCGGAGAGGGAGCCUGAGAAACGGCUACCACAUCCAAGGAAGGCAGCAGGCGCGCAAAUUACCCAAUCCCGACACGGGGAGGUAGUGACAAUAAAUACUGAUACAGGGCUCUUUUGGGUCUUGUAAUUGGAAUGAGUACAAUUUAAAUCCCUUAACGAGGAACAAUUGGAGGGCAAGUCUGGUGCCAGCAGCCGCGGUAAUUCCAGCUCCAAUAGCGUAUAUUAAAGUUGUUGCAGUUAAAAAGCUCGUAGUUGAACCUUGGGCCUGGCUGGCCGGUCCGCCUCACCGCGUGCACUGGUCCGGCCGGGCCUUUCCUUCUGGAGAGCCGCAUGCCCUUCACUGGGUGUGUCGGGGAACCAGGACUUUUACUUUGAAAAAAUUAGAGUGUUCAAAGCAGGCCUUUGCUCGAAUACAUUAGCAUGGAAUAAUAGAAUAGGACGUGCGGUUCUAUUUUGUUGGUUUCUAGGACCGCCGUAAUGAUUAAUAGGGAUAGUCGGGGGCAUCAGUAUUCAAUUGUCAGAGGUGAAAUUCUUGGAUUUAUUGAAGACUAACUACUGCGAAAGCAUUUGCCAAGGAUGUUUUCAUUAAUCAGUGAACGAAAGUUAGGGGAUCGAAGACGAUCAGAUACCGUCGUAGUCUUAACCGUAAACUAUGCCGACUAGGGAUCGGGCGAUGUUAUUA
RNAcentral lists this ribosomal RNA (970 nucleotides) under Rhytidhysteron bruguierae. Its description in RNAcentral is "SSU rRNA". It matches the Rfam family "Eukaryotic small subunit ribosomal RNA", at positions 90 to 1068 of the family's 1831-position model. Lineage: Eukaryota; Fungi; Ascomycota; Dothideomycetes; Hysteriales; Hysteriaceae. The record is from RNAcentral.